Molecule: long non-coding RNA, 139 nt
Organism: Ictalurus punctatus (channel catfish)
Lineage: Eukaryota; Metazoa; Chordata; Actinopteri; Siluriformes; Ictaluridae
Exons: 3
Source: RefSeq, a predicted model, not a curated record
CGAGGAUCUUCUGAUAUAUACACGUGUAGCCUAUCACAGAAGUCUGUGUGGUAGUGGUGCAGAUGGGUACCAGCAGCUGUGAAGGUUUUUCCCACUAGGCCCAAGAUGGUGAGAAACUCAUACAUGCAUUUGUUACAUC